Non-coding RNA from Potamilus streckersoni, 88 nucleotides. Lineage: Eukaryota; Metazoa; Mollusca; Bivalvia; Unionida; Unionidae. The record is from the annotation of a GenBank genome assembly.
GCACCGAUGGCUUAGUGGUUAGAGCUUCUGCCUUCGAUGCAAGAGCUUGUGGGUUUGAUUCGUACCAAAUAAUUACAAAAAUGGUACU